RNAcentral lists this long non-coding RNA (203 nucleotides) under Panax ginseng (ginseng). RNAcentral describes it as "long non-coding RNA (PGIN_LNC015319)". The record is from RNAcentral. Lineage: Eukaryota; Viridiplantae; Streptophyta; Magnoliopsida; Apiales; Araliaceae.
UCCAUUACAUGAACCCCAUGUUCAUUACUCGUUCUUAGUGUCGAAGCCAUACCAAUCGUUGUAUGCUAAGACCGAUCGUUCAUCGCAACAACGUUGCGUUCAUAGCGUCUAUACGCUUUACACUUAUCUCUCAUUACCACAACAUAGCAUCGAAAUGUUAUUCAUUACCUUCGUCACUCAACAUUUAAGGAAUCACAAUCAUA